RNAcentral lists this ribosomal RNA (253 nucleotides) under uncultured bacterium. RNAcentral describes it as "partial 16S ribosomal RNA". It matches the Rfam family "Bacterial small subunit ribosomal RNA", at positions 524 to 776 of the family's 1533-position model. The record is from RNAcentral.
UACAGAGGGGGCAAGCGUUAUUCGGAAUUAUUGGGCGUAAAGGGCGCGUAGGCGGCUCCGCAAGUCGGGGGUGAAAUCUUUCGGCUUAACCGGAAAAGUGCCUCUGAUACUGCGGAGCUCGAGGGAGGUAGGGGCGGACGGAACUUCCGGUGGAGCGGUGAAAUGCGUUGAUAUCGGAAGGAACGCCGGUGGCGAAAGCGGUCCGCUGGCCCUCUACUGACGCUGAGGCGCGAAAGCCAGGGGAGCAAACGGG